UGGGGAAUAUUGCACAAUGGGGGAAACCCUGAUGCAGCGACGCCGCGUGAACGAAGAAGGUAUUCGUAUCGUAAAGUUCUGUCCUAUUGGAAGAUAAUGACAGUACCAUAGAAGAAAGCUCCGGCUAAAUACGUGCCAGCAGCCGCGGUAAUAUGUAUGGAGCGAGCGUUGUCCGGAAUUAUUGGGCGUAAAGGGUACGCAGGCGGUUUAAUAAGUCGAAUGUUAAAGAUCGGGGCUCAACCCCGCAAAGCAUUGGAAACUGAUAAACUUGAGUAGUGGAGAGGAAAGUGGAAUUCCUAGUGUAGUGGUGAAAUACGUAGAUAUUAGGAGGAAUACCAGUAGCGAAGGCGACUUUCUGGACACAAACUGACGCUGAGGUACGAAAGCGUGGGGAGCAAACAGG
This 403-nucleotide ribosomal RNA is filed under the name bacterium. RNAcentral describes it as "partial 16S ribosomal RNA". It matches the Rfam family "Bacterial small subunit ribosomal RNA", at positions 355 to 776 of the family's 1533-position model. The record is from RNAcentral.